This 234-nucleotide ribosomal RNA is filed under the name Staphylococcus aureus. RNAcentral describes it as "partial 23S ribosomal RNA". It matches the Rfam family "Bacterial large subunit ribosomal RNA", at positions 2669 to 2904 of the family's 2925-position model. Lineage: Bacteria; Bacillati; Bacillota; Bacilli; Caryophanales; Staphylococcaceae. The record is from RNAcentral.
GAGCUGUCCUUAGUACGAGAGGACCGGGAUGGACAUACCUCUGGUGUACCAGUUGUCGUGCCAACGGCAUAGCUGGGUAGCUAUGUGUGGACGGGAUAAGUGCUGAAAGCAUCUAAGCAUGAAGCCCCCCUCAAGAUGAGAUUUCCCAACUUCGGUUAUAAGAUCCCUCAAAGAUGAUGAGGUUAAUAGGUUCGAGGUGGAAGCAUGGUGACAUGUGGAGCUGACGAAUACUAA